This 478-nucleotide ribosomal RNA is filed under the name uncultured bacterium. RNAcentral describes it as "partial 16S ribosomal RNA". It matches the Rfam family "Bacterial small subunit ribosomal RNA", at positions 28 to 523 of the family's 1533-position model. The record is from RNAcentral.
GACGAACGCUGGCGGCGUGCUUAACACAUGCAAGUCGAGCGAUGAAGUUCCUUCGGGAAUGGAUUAGCGGCGGACGGGUGAGUAACACGUGGGUAACCUGCCUCAUAGAGGGGAAUAGCCUUUCGAAAGGAAGAUUAAUACCGCAUAAGAUUGUAGUAUCGCAUGGUACAGCAAUUAAAGGAGUAAUCCGCUAUGAGAUGGACCCGCGUCGCAUUAGCUAGUUGGUGAGGUAACGGCUCACCAAGGCGACGAUGCGUAGCCGACCUGAGAGGGUGAUCGGCCACAUUGGGUCUGAGACACGGCCCAGACUCCUACGGGAGGCAGCAGUGGGGGAUAUUGCACAAUGGGGGAAACCCUGAUGCAGCAACGCCGCGUGAGUGAUGACGGUCUUCGGAUUGUAAAACUCUGUCUUCAGGGACGAUAAUGACGGUACCUGAGGAGGAAGCCACGGCUAACUACGUGCCAGCCGCCGCGGUAA